CCCACGCCGGCCGCCGCCCCUCGACCUACCUGCAUCCUGGAGUGCCGCCCCUCACCAGUCACCACUCACGUACGAUCCUCCGUCCUGGAAGGCCGCCCCUCAGGCCCUCACCACUCCCCCUGCGAUCCUCCAUCCCUGCGCGCCGUCGCUAGUCAACACUCCCCUGCGACCUGCUUCAUGUCGUGCCGUCCCUCUCGUCACCGCUCCCCUUUGACGACCAACUGCAUCUACUACCUCCGCACGAGGGCCUGCGGCUACGGGCAGAGUUACGACUACAACCACCCUCGCGAUCGCGCUACCGUGUCCCUGAUUAUGACCGACAGGUUGAAUAGAUGGUUGGUGCGGAGGGGAGCUUCUAGCUGAAGCAUCUUGCUGUGAUUAAACUGAUUUUAGUUAUGGCUUAGGAGCCUGUCACAAGCCCAUUGCAAGUAUGUGGCAUGCAAGCAGAGGAGAGGAUGACCUUGACAAUUACCAAUUCUACCUUAUAAUUUAUCUAACAAGAUUCAAAGGAUAAAUGGAUGAUUAUAUGGGUGUGUGGCAAGUAUACUGCAAAGAUGAUGAUGAUGAUGAUGAUGAUGUCCUGUUCAGGAUGAUGAUGAUGGAUGCUUCAGUUUUGGUUAAGUUUCAGGGAUGAUGUUCUUGUUGGAUGAUGUUCCUCGGUUAACUUUUAGAUUAGUUGUACAGAUAUUGAUGGAUGCUUUUAGUUUAAGUUCCUCUGUCAAGAAAAUAUUAGGAUUAUGCAUCACAUUAGGAUGAUGUUCCUUGUGUAAUAUCCACUAUUGUAAUCCAACAUUUUUAUCUAAUAUAUGAGUUCUUCC
Molecule: long non-coding RNA, 818 nt
Organism: Triticum aestivum (bread wheat)
Lineage: Eukaryota; Viridiplantae; Streptophyta; Magnoliopsida; Poales; Poaceae
Exons: 4
Source: RefSeq, a predicted model, not a curated record